AGAAUCAACGCUGGCGGCGUGCCUAACACAUGCAAGUCGAACGAGAAAGUGGAGCAAUCCAUGAGUAAAGUGGCGCACGGGUGAGUAACACGUGACUAACCUACCCUUGAGUGGGGGAUAACCUAGGGAAACCUGGGCUAAUACCGCAUAAUACCUUCGGGUCAAAGCAGCAAUGCGCUUGGAGAGGAGUUCGCGGCCGAUUAGUUAGUUGGCGGGGUAAUGGCCCACCAAGACGAUGAUCGGUA
This 245-nucleotide ribosomal RNA is filed under the name uncultured bacterium. Its description in RNAcentral is "partial small subunit ribosomal RNA". It matches the Rfam family "Bacterial small subunit ribosomal RNA", at positions 26 to 285 of the family's 1533-position model. The record is from RNAcentral.